CCUACGGGAGGCAGCAGUGGGGAAUAUUGCACAAUGGGGGAAACCCUGAUGCAGCGACGCCGCGUGCGUGAAGAAGUAUUUCGGUAUGUAAAGCUCUAUCAGCAGGAACGAGACAAGACGGUACCUGACUAAGAAGCCCCGGCUAACUACGUGCCAGCAGCCGCGGUAAUACGGAGGGGGCAAGCGUUAUCCGGAAGCACUGGGUGUAAAGGGAGCGUAGACGGCUGUGCAAGCCUGAAGUGAAAGGCGGGGGCCCAACCCCUGGACUGCUUUGGGAACUGUACGGCUGGAGGGCGGGAGAGGUAGGUGGAAUUCCUAGUGUAGCGGUGAAAUGCGUAGAUAUUAGGAGGAACACCAGUGGCGAAGGCGGCUUACUGGACUGUAACUGACGUUGAGGCUCGAAAGCGUGGGGAGCAAACAGGAUUAGAUACCCCGGUAGUC
RNAcentral lists this ribosomal RNA (441 nucleotides) under uncultured bacterium. Its description in RNAcentral is "partial 16S ribosomal RNA". It matches the Rfam family "Bacterial small subunit ribosomal RNA", at positions 338 to 795 of the family's 1533-position model. The record is from RNAcentral.